Molecule: ribosomal RNA, 492 nt
Filed under: uncultured bacterium
Lineage: Bacteria
Description: partial 16S ribosomal RNA
Rfam family: Bacterial small subunit ribosomal RNA
Source: RNAcentral
AGUGAACGCUGGCGGUAGGCCUAACACAUGCCAGUCGAACGGCAGCACAGUAAGAGCUUGCUCUUACGGGUGGCGAGUGGCGGACGGGUGAGGAAUACAUCGGAAUCUACUUUUUCGUGGGGGAUAACGUAGGGAAACUUACGCUAAUACCGCAUACGACCUACGGGUGAAAGCAGGGGAUCUUCGGACCUUGCGCGUUUGAAUGAGCCGAUGUCGGAUUAGCUAGUUGGCGGGGUAAAGGCCCACCAAGGCGACGAUCCGUAGCUGGUCUGAGAGGAUGAUCAGCCACACUGGAACUGAGACACGGUCCAGACUCCUACGGGAGGCAGCAGUGGGGAAUAUUGGACAAUGGGCGCAAGCCUGAUCCAGCCAUACCGCGUGGGUGAAGAAGGCCUUCGGGUUGUAAAGCCCUUUUGUUGGGAAAGAAAAGCAGCAGGUUAAUACCCCGCUGUUCUGACGGUACCCAAAGAAUAAGCACCGGCUAACUUCGUG